GAUGAACGCUGGCGGCGUGCCUAAUACAUGCAAGUCGAGCGAACAGACGAGGAGCUUGCUCCUCUGACGUUAGCGGCGGACGGGUGAGUAACACGUGGAUAACCUACCUAUAAGACUGGGAUAACUUCGGGAAACCGGAGCUAAUACCGGAUAAUAUAUUGAACCGCAUGGUUCAAUAGUGAAAUACGGUUUUGCUGUCACUUAUAGAUGUAUCCGCGCCGCAUUAGCUAGUUGGUAAGGUAACGGCUUACCAAGGCAACGAUGCGUAGCCGACCUGAGAGGGUGAUCGGCCACACUGGAUCUGAGACACGGUCCAGACUCCUACGGGAGGCAGCAGGAGGGAAUCUGCCGCAAUGGGCGAAAUCCUGACGGAGCAACGCCGCGUGAGUGAUGAAGGUCUUCGGAUCGUAAAACUCUGUUAUUAGGGAAGAACAAAUGUGUAAGUAACUAUGCACGUAUUGACGGUACCUGAUCAGAAAGCCACGGCUAACUACGUG
This 497-nucleotide ribosomal RNA is filed under the name uncultured bacterium. RNAcentral describes it as "partial 16S ribosomal RNA". It matches the Rfam family "Bacterial small subunit ribosomal RNA", at positions 28 to 507 of the family's 1533-position model. The record is from RNAcentral.